This 89-nucleotide microRNA precursor is filed under the name Canis lupus familiaris (dog). Its description in RNAcentral is "mir-8799 microRNA precursor family". It matches the Rfam family "mir-8799 microRNA precursor family". The record is from Rfam by way of RNAcentral. Lineage: Eukaryota; Metazoa; Chordata; Mammalia; Carnivora; Canidae. RNAcentral also lists the same sequence under 3 other names.
CGGGGGAGGCUGGAUCCUGGGCUGUGUCCCGGCGCCCUGUGCUCCGGGGCCUGCGCUGUUGGAUUCGCGCUCCCGCCCCGCAGCCCCCU